UGCUCAAGUGAAGUACAAGUAACUGAAAUGUAUACUUAAGUACAGUACUUGAGUAAAUGUACUUAAUAACCGUCCACCACUAAAAGUAAAGUGGGCAUCUUUCAAAGAAAUUAUGCUCAGAAUAAUUUUUUCUGUCAACAGAAGGUGGCGGUAAUGCGCGCAGAGAUGUUUCCAACCGGCACAAAAUGCUGCAAAUAGACGAAGAAGAAUGCUAACUGGACAAUCCACGUUGAAGUCGGUGGAGAGCAGGGCGGUGAUUUUAAGUUGUGAAAAUAAGAUGGACUCGGUCGUCCAGGUUCCUGUAAAAAGGAACCAGCGUUGAAAUCGAACAAUGAACAUUUGAGGCCGCAGCUCAGCGCAGAUACAUUGGAGGAGAUGACCUGACUCAUCACGGAGGAGCUCCCAUCCGGACUCACACAGACCUCCAUGUGGGGAGCAGUUGUGGAUAUUGGUGGAGAAGCGCAGUACUGCAGGCUCUGUCAUGUGGCUGGUGGUCACACUAGUCCAAACAGAUGGGACUGAUACGACGGACAGAGAGAGGCCCGAGGACGGUCAACUAGUGGCCACUUCUGAUGCAGGAACAUGAGAUAAAAUUGGCAACUCCUUCCCUCCUGCUCCACAUGGGAAAGCGUUAGACGUUCAAUGAUUGUUUAUACUUGAAAGAUGAUGUGAAUGUACUUCACUCUUCUGUUUAUAAUAAUAAACCUGUAACUGUGUUCAAA
Long non-coding RNA from Micropterus salmoides (largemouth bass), 722 nucleotides. RefSeq lists it as uncharacterized. Lineage: Eukaryota; Metazoa; Chordata; Actinopteri; Centrarchiformes; Centrarchidae. The transcript has 5 exons. The record is from RefSeq and is a predicted model, not a curated record.